UACGGGGGGGGUAAGCGUUGUUCGGAAUUACUGGGCGUAAAGGGCUCGUAGGCGGCCAACUAAGUCAUACGUGAAAUCCCUCAGCUUAACUGGGGAACUGCGUCUGAUACUGGAUGGCUUGAGAUUGGGAGAGGGAUGCGGAAUUCCAGGUGUAGCGGUGAAAUGCGUAGAUAUCUGGAGGAACACCGGUGGCGAAGGCGGCAUCCUGGACCAACACUGACGCUGAGGAGCGAAAGCCAGGGGAGCAAACGGG
RNAcentral lists this ribosomal RNA (253 nucleotides) under uncultured bacterium. RNAcentral's name for it is "partial 16S ribosomal RNA". It matches the Rfam family "Bacterial small subunit ribosomal RNA", at positions 524 to 776 of the family's 1533-position model. The record is from RNAcentral.